This is a long non-coding RNA of Hibiscus syriacus, 1034 nucleotides long. RefSeq lists it as uncharacterized. The record is from RefSeq and is a predicted model, not a curated record. The transcript has 3 exons. NCBI's taxonomy places the organism in Eukaryota, Viridiplantae, Streptophyta, Magnoliopsida, Malvales, Malvaceae.
AGUGAGGAUAUGGGUGCUAAUGUACUUGGUGAUCACAGUAUGAAUCAUUUGGUUGCUAGUCAAGGGGUUCAGUCCCCUGUUGGACGGAAAAACCAUCCAUUGAUCUAAAAAUUCUGCUUGGUCAUCUGAGGAUCUAUAUCCUGGACUUUCUGGUGAUCUAGCUUCCUAUAGUAUUGCUGGAAGUCAGGAAGGUUUGAGCUCAUUGUCUGAUUUUUGUGGGGAUAUUGUUGCAAACAUGCGCAGUUUGAGUUAUGGCCGGUGUUGCUAUGAUUGUGUCCUUAGUGCAUCUGUUCCUCCAAUUUCUUCACCUUUGGUUUCUCAGUUUCAGAGCAAGAACUCAUGGCAUGUAGUACACAAUUCGGUGCAAUUUAGGCCAAAUGGAAUUUCCCCAAUGAAUGGUAACGGUGUUGUCCCACGAAAAGCCUACUACCCUAUGAACCCACCAGUUUUACAUGGUUCUGGCUUUGGAAUGGAAGAUAUGCCAAAGCCUCGAGGAACAGGGACAUACUUCCCCAAUCCCAGCAGAAGUCUUACAAGGAUAGGUCCUUGACACCAUGGGGAAGGAACCCAGCACCAGCAAGAUCUCACAACAAUGGCCACGCCGUUACACCCCCAGAGCCAAAUUCACCAGAGAGAUGGAGCCCUGAGCUGGCACAAAUACAGACUGUGAAUCAGGGUUUUGGAAAAUCCGGGUCUUCUGAACUCAGUCUUGAUCUGAAAAAGUAUUAUCCCUAAAGCCAACGACUCAUUGCAUCAGCCAGAUAGGCUUGUAGAAUUUGGGUCAAUUGGGGCCUUACCCUUGGUGCCAGCCUCUACAGAAAGUAGCCAGCAGCAUAAUCCAGGUUCUCCUUAUGCUCUAAACUCGACUUCUUGUUGGCAACAAUUAGGAAAUCAAAGACUAAGCUCAACUGCGAGCAUGGAUCAAGACAGGAUACUUUUACAGUCAUUCCAAUAUAAAAAACGAAGAAGAUUUCCCACCUUUAUCCAUUUGAAAACAGCACAGAGAAAAGGAUGGAUCUUAAUUUAUAGACAGU